RNAcentral lists this transfer RNA (58 nucleotides) under Dipodomys ordii (Ord's kangaroo rat). It matches the Rfam family "tRNA", at positions 8 to 63 of the family's 71-position model. Rfam says of the family: Transfer RNA (tRNA) molecules are approximately 80 nucleotides in length. The record is from Rfam by way of RNAcentral. Lineage: Eukaryota; Metazoa; Chordata; Mammalia; Rodentia; Heteromyidae.
UGGCUCAGUAGUAGAGCGCUUGCCUUUCAUGCAUGAGGCCCUGGGUUCGAUUCCUCAG